Long non-coding RNA from Dermacentor andersoni, 758 nucleotides. RefSeq lists it as uncharacterized. The record is from RefSeq and is a predicted model, not a curated record. NCBI's taxonomy places the organism in Eukaryota, Metazoa, Arthropoda, Arachnida, Ixodida, Ixodidae.
UGGCUGCUCUCGGAAUACGGGGAAAAGCAGUGGGGUCACUAUUGUCCUCCUUGUCUCCCUCCGUCGCUGCCGCCGAAGGAACGCGGUCGGGCUAGGUCCAGCGGGGGAAAGUGGCGUUUACACCGUUUUCUUCAUUCACCUUUUCCUUUCACUCUUUCCUUCUAUGCAUCGCUAGCACGCCGACUGGGUGCAACACCGCCUGAGUGCUUGCCGUCUUGUCCGUGUUUGUCAGCGCACUCCUAUCGUGAAAAAUGCUCGCUUGCGGUCGUCAUUCCUACUGAGAAGCCUGCAUCUUGAAAUACACAGCAAAGUGGCCACGAAUUUUCGUGAGUGUUAGAAUUAAUAUAGGCGAAACAACAACCAGAAAAAAAGUCGGCGCUCGUGGCCACCGUCUUCGAUGUGGGAUGAACUCGGAUACACAGAAGCGUGGAUCUUACAAUGUGCAAGCAUCUCCAAGUAAUGGUGAAGUGGCUAUGGGAAAUGGUAGCAGUUUCAACGAAACCACCGCGUUAUCGUGGUCCUCGGGGGCUUGAUCAGCCCGCCGUCAUCCAAGCACUGACCAACCUGCCUACCGACGUCAGCUCCCUGCCCUGAAACCCCUGGCCAGCCUACCGUCCUCGGCACCUUGCCCAAUUCCUGUCCUGAGGGCAGUGCCUGUAAAUAAACUAUUUGAAGAUAACCGAGCGUCACCCAUCCAGGUCGACGGAAAAUGCCUGUUUGUGAAGAUUUAUUCGCAAAUAAACUGUCAUAAAAGUCAA